CGAUGUUCUAAGAGGAUAUUUUCAGCUUCUUGUUCUUUCUCCCUCUCUGUGAUGACACUGUACCCGGUGAGUUAAAAGCAGCAGAAGAUGUGGCUUUACUGAAGGCAGCAGGCUACUGUGGUCCACAGCCUGCCAAUGGGAAUUUGGGUCACAAGCAGGAACCAAGGCUCUGAAGAGUACCCUUGGGACAAAGAAAUACAGCCAGAAUACUGCCUUUGAAGAGUUUAUAAUCUAAGCCAGAGUGGAGUCCAGUAUAGACUAGGUACGAUGCCUCUGAAGUUUAGUGGUCAGCAAGAGAUGAUAUGCAAACAGAAAAGUCUGCAUGAAGAAGGCUGUAUGCAAAAGGACUUCAGAGUAUUGAUCCUUGCAUAAAUGUACCUCAGAUCCUUCACAUGCG
This 397-nucleotide long non-coding RNA is filed under the name Cavia porcellus (domestic guinea pig). Its description in RNAcentral is "lncRNA (ENSCPOG00000033592.1)". Lineage: Eukaryota; Metazoa; Chordata; Mammalia; Rodentia; Caviidae. The record is from RNAcentral.